Molecule: ribosomal RNA, 443 nt
Filed under: uncultured bacterium
Lineage: Bacteria
Description: partial 16S ribosomal RNA
Rfam family: Bacterial small subunit ribosomal RNA
Source: RNAcentral
CCUACGGGAGGCAGCAGUGGGGAAUAUUGGGCAAUGGGCGCAAGCCUGACCCAGCAACGCCGCGUGAAGGAAGAAGGCUUUCGGGUUGUAAACUUCUUUUCUGAGGGACGAAGAAAGUGACGGUACCUCAGGAAUAAGCCACGGCUAACUACGUGCCAGCAGCCGCGGUAAUACGUAGGUGGCAAGCGUUAUCCGGCUUUCUUGGGGGUAAAGGGCGGGUAGGCGGGAGUGCAAGUCAGAUGUGAAAACUCAGGGCCCAACCCUGAGCCUGCAUUUGAAACUGUUUUUCUUGAGUGCUGGAGAGGCAAUCGGAAUUCCGUGUGUAGCGGGGAAAUGCGUAGAUAUACGGAGGAACACCAGUGGCGAAGGCGGAUUUCUGGACAGUAACUGACGCUGAGGCGCGAAAGCGUGGGGAGCAAACAGGAUUAGAUACCCGGGUAGUC